AAAUUGAAGAGUUUGAUCAUGGCUCAGAUUGAACGCUGGCGGCAGGCCUAACACAUGCAAGUCGAGCGGUAGCACAGAGAGCUUGCUCUCGGGUGACGAGCGGCGGACGGGUGAGUAAUGUCUGGGAAACUGCCUGAUGGAGGGGGAUAACUACUGGAAACGGUAGCUAAUACCGCAUAAUGUCGCAAGACCAAAGUGGGGGACCUUCGGGCCUCAUGCCAUCAGAUGUGCCCAGAUGGGAUUAGCUAGUAGGUGGGGUAAUGGCUCACCUAGGCGACGAUCCCUAGCUGGUCUGAGAGGAUGACCAGCCACACUGGAACUGAGACACGGUCCAGACUCCUACGGGAGGCAGCAGUGGGGAAUAUUGCACAAUGGGCGCAAGCCUGAUGCAGCCAUGCCGCGUGUGUGAAGAAGGCCUUCGGGUUGUAAAGCACUUUCAGCGGGGAGGAAGGCGUUAAGGUUAAUAACCUUGGCGAUUGACGUUACCCGCAGAAGAAGCACCGGCUAACUCCGUGCCAGCAGCCGCGGUAAUACGGAGGGUGCAAGCGUUAAUCGGAAUUACUGGGCGUAAAGCGCACGCAGGCGGUCUGUCAAGUCGGAUGUGAAAUCCCCGGGCUCAACCUGGGAACUGCAUUCGAAACUGGCAGGCUAGAGUCUUGUAGAGGGGGUAGAAUUCCAGGUGUAGCGGUGAAAUGCGUAGAGAUCUGGAGGAAUACCGGUGGCGAAGGCGGCCCCCUGGACAAAGACUGACGCUCAGGUGCGAAAGCGUGGGGAGCAAACAGGAUUAGAUACCCUGGUAGUCCACGCCGUAAACGAUGUCGAUUUGGAGGUUGUGCCCUUGAGGCGUGGCUUCCGGAGCUAACGCGUUAAAUCGACCGCCUGGGGAGUACGGCCGCAAGGUUAAAACUCAAAUGAAUUGACGGGGGCCCGCACAAGCGGUGGAGCAUGUGGUUUAAUUCGAUGCAACGCGAAGAACCUUACCUGGUCUUGACAUCCACAGAACUUUCCAGAGAUGGAUUGGUGCCUUCGGGAACUGUGAGACAGGUGCUGCAUGGCUGUCGUCAGCUCGUGUUGUGAAAUGUUGGGUUAAGUCCCGCAACGAGCGCAACCCUUAUCCUUUGUUGCCAGCGGUUAGGCCGGGAACUCAAAGGAGACUGCCAGUGAUAAACUGGAGGAAGGUGGGGAUGACGUCAAGUCAUCAUGGCCCUUACGACCAGGGCUACACACGUGCUACAAUGGCAUAUACAAAGAGAAGCGACCUCGCGAGAGCAAGCGGACCUCAUAAAGUAUGUCGUAGUCCGGAUUGGAGUCUGCAACUCGACUCCAUGAAGUCGGAAUCGCUAGUAAUCGUAGAUCAGAAUGCUACGGUGAAUACGUUCCCGGGCCUUGUACACACCGCCCGUCACACCAUGGGAGUGGGUUGCAAAAGAAGUAGGUAGCUUAACCUUCGGGAGGGCGCUUACCACUUUGUGAUUCAUGACUGGGGUGAAGUCGUAACAAGGUAACCGUAGGGGAACCUGCGGUUGGAUCACCUCCUUACCUUAAAGAA
RNAcentral lists this ribosomal RNA (1549 nucleotides) under Klebsiella pneumoniae. RNAcentral's name for it is "bacterial SSU rRNA". It matches the Rfam family "Bacterial small subunit ribosomal RNA". The record is from RNAcentral. Lineage: Bacteria; Pseudomonadati; Pseudomonadota; Gammaproteobacteria; Enterobacterales; Enterobacteriaceae.